RNAcentral lists this long non-coding RNA (3431 nucleotides) under Homo sapiens (human). RNAcentral describes it as "HSALNT0079387". The record is from RNAcentral. Lineage: Eukaryota; Metazoa; Chordata; Mammalia; Primates; Hominidae.
UAUCGUCUCCCUCAAGGCAAGUAAAAUCUGAGAGAUGGAGAUAGAAAAUCCAGGAAUGGCUACUGAAUUAAGAAGGAGCAAGAAAGGACAAAACAAGUGUUUUUAGGAAGGUGGCAACACCUCCGGUUGGUCUAAAGGAUCUAUGGGGAAGCAGCUGCAGACCCAGUUCACUGCUCCAGGGUCCUGCCACAGCCAUAAGUCUAGAAAUGACCCAGAUCCUCAAACAGAGUUUUCCUGUGUCCCAGGAAGAGUUGCCCACUGGCCAGUUUCCUCACCUUCAGCUCAUCAGGCAAAGCGGGGAAGAAGGCAGGCUGGAGUGCCUGGAAAGGACAGAGAGGAGGCAUCCAGGUGGAGGGAGAAGAGAUCCUUACAGGACCAACUAGAGAGACAGGACAUCAUCAGGCACCAUCUUGACAUCUCUGCUGGCCUCGGCAGUUUGGAAACUGAAAAACGAAGAGACAAGCAGCUGUGGGCAAAGGAAGUAGGUGGGGUGGUAGGCACGGGCUUUGGAUAAGUUGCCUAGCCCCCUUAGGAGUGCUCUCCUCACCUCCAUUCCCACCUGCAGGGGAGGAGGAGCUGCCAGCCUGCUGGGAAGGCUGCUUGGUGGAGUAGGAGGGGCCAGGGCUACUGGCAGACAUCCUGAGUUCAAACCCGCUAUUGACCCUGGGAUUUUGAGUAGUCACUAAUUUCUGCCUCAGUUUCCUUAUUCGUAAAACAAAGCUGUAAUCCCUGAUCUCACAGGAUUAUUGUGAAGAUUAAAGAGAUAAUGUAUCAGAAAACUCUUGGCCAGAUGCAGUGACUCAUCCCCAUAAUCCCAGCACUUUGAGAGGCUGAGGUAGGCAGAUAGCUUGAUCCCAGGAGUUCCUGACCAGCCUGGGCAACAUGGUGAAACCCUGUCUCUACAAAAAAUACAAAAAUUAGCCAGUCACGGUGACACGCAUCUGUAGUCCCAGCUACUCAGGAGGCUGAGGUGGGAGUACCACCUGAGCCUGGGAGGUCGAGGCUGCAAUAAGAUUGUGGCACUGCAUUCCAGCCUGGGUGACAGAGUAGGAUUCUGUCUAAAAAAAAGAGAGACAGAGAGAGAGAGGGAAGAAAGGAAAGGAAAAAGGAAAGGAAAGGAAAGGAAAGGAAAGGAAAGGAAAGGAAAGGAAAGGAAAGGAAAGGAAAGGAAAGCCUUCAUAAACUGCAAAUAUAAAUUAAAGGUGGUAUGAUUACGCCACUAAACCAAUCUUCCCAAAUACAAAAAUUAAGUCUGACUUUCCUUCACCAUGCCCUGCCCCCACCACUGUAACUCCAUGGACAUGAUCGUGUGUCAAGACCAACACUGAGUAUCUGCAUUUCUCCCAGUUCCAGUGGUCUGUAAACUCAUAGGACGGGUCUUAGCCAUUUGAUGUCCCUAGUAACCUGUAGUGUCAGAUGCUCAAUAUGCCUUGAAUAAACAUUGAGUGAAUAAAUGUAAGGUGGGAAGCAUGGAGGAGGUCAGUCUGAAGGAAAAGGUGAAAAGGUAAGAGUGGGCUAGAUCUCUAGAAAAUUUUACAUGCUCUUGGAAAUCAGGAAGAACAAUUAGAGGCACUGGAUUAACUGGAGUGCACCUCCUUAAGUCUUUUGGCUCAAAUGUCAACAACCAGAAUUCACUUGGAGUAGAGUGAGCUUCAGGGAUGCUUAAUUUAGCAAGGCUGAAUUCAGCUUUGGUGGUCUUUCCUUAGUGGCAGGGAAGGGGUGCCCUGCUGAGCUGCAGGGAGCAGUGAUAUAUUAGGAAUAUCUAGAUUUGGGAACCUUUCAAAAGAUGCAUGUCCUUGUCUUACACCCAAACAAAGCUGAUAGAGCCAAAAUUCAAAGAAACAGUUCUUCCUAGUCCCUGAAAAAAAGUGAAACAUCUAUCCAUCUAUUAAAAAUUUGCUAGGUCCCUGCUGUGUGCUGUACUAGGUGCUGGAGUGCCAUAAAAGGAAUCACACUCGAGGCUGAUCACAAGACUUCUUUUCCACUUGGAAGAAGCUCAUGGGAGCCAGCACUGAUGCAGGUCCAGGCCUGGGGAAAGCAUAUGCCCCCAAGACCCAUCAAGCUUGUCCCUGCCAUCUCUCUCCAUCAUUCUAGCUUCGCCCUAGCUUGUGGGUACCACGGGUACCUAUUUCCAGGAACCCAGGGAAUUCCUUUUGACCUUGCUGGGAAACUGCAAAUCACCCAACAGGAGCUUAGCUGUGCAGCCAACAUUUGGAACUACUCAAUAGCUUUCUGGAGUCAACAAAUAAGGAAAUAAUUUCUUUAGGAUAAAAAAAUGUUUUGUUUUAGUAAAGGGUAAUGGCACUCCAUUGCGAAUGGAAACUGUUCUCCCCUUGGUUUAAGUGGAGCCCAUUUGUCAGCACUGCUUGAGGCCUGCGAAGUGACCAUCUAGGUAUUUUUCUCAAGUGAAGAAUGAUCUGAGGACAUCUUCGCCACUGGGUCCCUCUUACUCAUGUGACUUCCAAGUUUUCUGGUGGUAAAGUUGGAGGCAGAGAGAGCAUGCCCCUGAAUUGGACAGUAGAGUGUCCUUCAGCUGAUAGAAGAUCACUUCAGGGCAGGUGGAGCAGCCACAGAAGAAAAUGGUAAUUACUCAACUGCUCGUGCACCUCAUUUUGAAUCUAUCCUGCUCUUCAGCUCUUUCUGCACAUAAAGGAAGAGGCUCCUUGUCAUUUGAAAAGAUUGCACCAAAGUGGCAGUGUUGACAGAGCCUUCCCUGUCAAAGCCACUUUCUCAAUACAUUUAAUUAGCAAGGGCUUCCAAGGGCCCCCUGCCAGCCCAACACAGGCCUGGAUGACACCUGAGUGAGGUUGCCACAGUCCCAGCCAAACCCCUUCAAGCUCCAUUUUUAGAUGUACUACAACCAGCUAGCUUUCAGCAAGUUCCCCUCCCGCCCCUUUGCCCAAUGCUGGUCAGCUGGGCAGCUUGACUGUGAAGCCUUUCUUUCCAGGCCAUGGGGAAAGAACCAAAGGAAGCUGCUUUCUCUCAUGCAUACAGUAUUUUUGAACAAAGAGGCCUGUAUGCAUUGCAACAACAGCGUCUCUAGAUCCUGAGCGUGGGCCCCGCUUGGCAGAGGGUCAGCAGCAUGGUGGAGGGCAUGCAUUGGAAUACAGAUUGCCACCAAGCCUUUGGGGCCAUGCCCAUCAUGUGGCUGGGCCUGGCUCUGGCAGCCCGACAUUCAGCUGCCAACAGCUUGCAGGCCUGUUUGCUGCAUGGCCAGCAUCCUGUUUGGUGAUUUGAUGAGAGUCCCAGGCUCUCUUUGCAUAUCAGAACACUGGUCUCCGUGCACCUCGCGUGGGAUGACUGUAUCUGGACAACUGAGAUGUUCCUUGCCAUUGAUUAAAUGCUUAGCAAGCUCAGAAAAUACAGCUGGAAACUCCUUGGAGCCCUCCGCCUACUGCUCUUCAUCCACAGCCUCUCCCUGCAAAGCGGGG